UUGUCCGAGCGAUUGCAGAUGGAUGUGUUUAGCUAGGCAGGGUGCUAGAUGUUUAUUUUUUCAAAGAUAGUCCUUUUUCAGAAAUCAGUUAUAUCUGUGCGUGGUAGCAAUAUUUCCGAAUACUGGAGAAGCACAUUGUGCGGCUGCGGGAGAAGCUGGACAGGGAGAGGGAGGAGAGGAACAACUUCCAGCUAGAGAGGGACAAGGUCCACACCUUCUGGAAGAUCACCAAGAGACACCUGGACGAGAGGAAGGCAGACCUGAGGAACAGAGACCGGGAGAUGAAAGAGGCUGAGGAGCGCCACCAAUUUGAGAUCAAGAAAAACGACCAGGAAAUUACCAAAACGAGAAAUGACUUUGAGAGACAAGUGCGAGAAAUUGAGGCCAAGUAUGAGACGAAGAUGCAGAUGCUGCGUCAGGAGCAGGACCUGAGGAGGAAGACGGAGAUCGAGGAGAGGAGAGGAAGAACAGCCAGAUCAACACACUGACCAAGAACCACGAGAAGGCUUUCAGCGACAUCAAGAACUACUACAACGACAUCACCCUUAACAACC
Oncorhynchus masou masou (cherry salmon) is the source of this 554-nucleotide long non-coding RNA. RefSeq lists it as uncharacterized. NCBI's taxonomy places the organism in Eukaryota, Metazoa, Chordata, Actinopteri, Salmoniformes, Salmonidae. The record is from RefSeq and is a predicted model, not a curated record. The transcript has 4 exons.